AGAGAUCCUUCACGCGGCGAUAUCAUUCGAACCUCCCCAGGGCCGGAAGGCAGCAAGGAUAAGGGUGCGCUAUCGGGUGCGUGAAGGGUCUUUUUUA
RNAcentral lists this signal recognition particle RNA (97 nucleotides) under Varibaculum cambriense. RNAcentral describes it as "Bacterial signal recognition particle RNA". It matches the Rfam family "Bacterial small signal recognition particle RNA". From Rfam's summary of the family: The signal recognition particle (SRP) is a universally conserved ribonucleoprotein involved in the co-translational targeting of proteins to membranes. Lineage: Bacteria; Bacillati; Actinomycetota; Actinomycetes; Actinomycetales; Actinomycetaceae. The record is from RNAcentral.